Long non-coding RNA from Oncorhynchus keta (chum salmon), 3018 nucleotides. RefSeq lists it as uncharacterized. The transcript has 3 exons. The record is from RefSeq and is a predicted model, not a curated record. Lineage: Eukaryota; Metazoa; Chordata; Actinopteri; Salmoniformes; Salmonidae.
AGAGAGAGGAAAGAGGGAGCUACAGUCGAGAGGAAAGAGGGAGCUACAUUAGAGAGGAAAGAUGGAGCUACAGUAGAGAGAGGAAAGAGGGAGCUACAGUAGAGAGAGGAAAGAGGGAGCUGCAGUAGAGAGAGGAAAGAGGGAGCUGCAGUAGAGAGAGGAAAGAGGGAGCUGCAGUAGAGAGAGGAAAGAGGUAGCUGCAGUAGAGAGAGGAAAGAGGUAGCUGCACAAGAGAGAGGAAAGAGGGAGCUACAGUAGAGAGAGGAAAGAGGGAGCUGCAGUAGAGAGAGGAAAGAGGGAGCUACAGUAGAGAGAGGAAAGAGGGAGCUGCAGUAGAGAGAGGAAAGAGGGAGCUGCAGUAGAGAGAGGAAAGAUGGAGCUACAGUAGAGAGAGGAAAGAGGGAGCUGCAGUAGAGAGAGGAAAGAGGGAGCUACAGUAGAGAGGGGAAAGAGGGAGCUGCAGUAGAGAGAGGAAAGAGGUAGCUGCACAAGAGAGAGGAAAGAGGGAGCUACAGUAGAGAGAGGAAAGAGGUAGCUGCACAAGAGAGAGGAAAGAGGGAGCUACAGUAGAGAGGAAAGAGGGAGAUUCAGUAGAGAGAGGAAAGAGGGAGCUGCAGUAGAGAGAGGAAAGAGGGAGCUACAGUCGAGAGGAAAGAGGGAGCUACAUUAGAGAGGAAAGAUGGAGCUACAGUAGAGAGAGGAAAGAGGGAGCUACAGUAGAGAGAGGAAAGAGGGAGCUGCAGUAGAGAGAGGAGAGAGGGAGCUGCAGUAGAGAGAGGAGAGAGGGAGCUGCAGUAGAGAGAGGAAAGAGGGACCUGCAGUAGAGAGAGGAAAGAGGUAGCUGCAGUAGAGAGAGGAAAUAGGGAGCUACAGUAGAGAGAGGAAAGAGGGAGCUACAGUAGAGAGAGGAAAGAGGGAGCUACAGUAGAGAGAGGAAAGAGGGAGCUGCAGUAGAGAGAGGAAAGAGGGAGCUGCAGUAGAGAGAGGAAAGAGGGAGCUGCAGUAGAGAGAGGAAAGAGGGAGCUACAGUCGAGAGGAAAGAUGGAGCUGCAGUAGAGAGAGUAAAGAGGGAGCUACAGUAGAGAGAGGAAAGAGGGAGCUGCAGUAGAGAGAGGAAAGAGGGAGCUACAGUAGAGAGGGGAAAGAGGGAGCUGCAGUAGAGAGAGGAAAGAGGGAGCUGCAGUAGAGAGAGGAAAGAGGUAGCUGCACAAGAGAGAGGAAAGAGGGAGCUACAGUAGAGAGAGAGGAAAGAGGGAGCUGCAGUAGAGAGGAAAGAUGGAGCUACAGUAGAGAGGAAAGAUGGAGCUGCAGUAGAGAGAGGAAAGAGGGAGCUACAGUAGAGAGAGGAAAGAGGGAGCUACAGUAGAGAGAGGAAAGAGGGAGCUACAGUAGAGAGAGGAAAGAGGGAGCUGCAGUAGAGAGAGGAAAGAGGGAGCUACAGUAGAGAGAGGAAAGAGGUAGCUGCAGUAGAGAGAGGAAAGAGGUAGCUGCACAAGAGAGAGGAAAGAGGGAGCUACAGUAGAGAGAGGAAAGAGGGAGCUGCAGUAGAGAGAGGAAAGAGGGAGCUACAGUAGAGAGGAAAGAUGGAGCUGCAGUAGAGAGAGUAAAGAGGGAGCUACAGUAGAGAGAGGAAAGAGGGAGCUGCAGUAGAGAGAGGAAAGAGGGAGCUACAGUAGAGAGGGGAAAGAGGGAGCUGCAGUAGAGAGAGGAAAGAGGGAGCUGCAGUAGAGAGAGGAAAGAGGUAGCUGCACAAGAGAGAGGAAAGAGGGAGCUACAGUAGAGAGAGGAAAGAGGGAGCUGCAGUAGAGAGGGGAAAGAGGGAGCUACAGUAGAGAGAGGAAAGAGGGAGCUGCAGUAGAGAGAGGAAAGAGGGAGCUACAGUAGAGAGGGGAAAGAGGGAGCUGCAGUAGAGAGAGGAAAGAGGGAGCUGCAGUAGAGAGAGGAAAGAGGUAGCUGCACAAGAGAGAGGAAAGAGGGAGCUACAGUAGAGAGAGGAAAGAGGGAGCUGCAGUAGAGAGAGGAAAGAGGGAGCUACAGUAGAGAGGAAAGAGGGAGCUACAGUAGAGAGAGGAAAGAGGGAGCUGCAGUAGAGAGAGGAAAGAGGGAGCUACAGUCUAGAGGAAAGAGGGAGCUACAGUAGAGAGGAAAGAUGGAGCUAGAGUAGAGAGAGGAAAGGAUGAGCUGCAGUAGAGAGAGGAAAGAGGGAGUUGCAGUAGAGAGAGGAAAGAGGUAGCUGUACAAGAGAGAGGAGAGAGGGAGCUGCAGUAGAGAGAGGAAAGAGGGAGCUGCAGUAGAGAGAGGAAAGAGGGAGCUACAGUAGAGAGAGGAAAGGAUGAGCUGCAGUAGAGAGAGGAAAGAGGGAGUUGCAGUAGAGAGAGGAAAGAGGUAGCUGCACAAGAGAGAGGAGAGAGGGAGCUGCAGUAGAGAGAGGAAAGAGGGAGCUGCAGUAGAGAGAGGAAAGAGGGAGCUACAGUAGAGAGAGGAAAGAGGGAGCUGCAGUAGAGAGAGGAAAGAAGGAGCUACAGUAGAGAGGAAAGAGGGAGCUUCAGUAGAGAGAGGAAAGAGGGAGCUGCAGUAGAGAGAGGAAAGAGGGAGCUACAGUCGAGAGGAAAGAGGGAGCUACAUUAGAGAGGAAAGAUGGAGCUACAGUAGAGAGAGGAAAGAGGGAGCUACAGUAGAGAGAGGAAAGAGGGAGCUGCAGUAGAGAGAGGAAAGAGGGAGCUGCAGUAGAGAGAGGAAAGAGGGAGCUGCAGUAGAGAGAGGAAAGAGGUAGCUGCAGUAGAGAGAGGAAAGAGGUAGCUGCACAAGAGAGAGGAAAGAGGGAGCUACAGUAGAGAGAGGAAAGAGGGAGCUGCAGUAGAGAGAGGAAAGAGGGAGCUACAGUAGAGAGAGGAAAGAGGGAGCUGCAGUAGAGAGAGGAAAGAGGGAGCUGCAGUAGAGAGAGGAAAGAUGGAGCUACAGUAGAGAGAGGAAAGAGGGAGCUGCAGUAGAGAGAGGAAAUAGGGAGCUACAGUAGAG